GCCUAUAUGAAGUCGGAGUUGCUAGUAAUCGCGGAUCAGAAUGCCGCGGUGAAUGCGUUCCCGGGUCUUGUACACACCGCCCGUCACACCAUGGAAGUUGGGGGCGCCCGAAGUUGGUCGAGGAAUAGAUUACCUAAGGCGAAACCAAUGACUGGGGUGAAGUCGUAACAAGGUAUC
This 177-nucleotide ribosomal RNA is filed under the name uncultured bacterium. RNAcentral's name for it is "partial 16S ribosomal RNA". It matches the Rfam family "Bacterial small subunit ribosomal RNA", at positions 1314 to 1500 of the family's 1533-position model. The record is from RNAcentral.